AAGUGUUGGGAUGACGUGUGGAUAGCGGUGAAAUUCCAAUCGAACUCGGAUAUAGCUGGUUCUCCUCGAAAUAGCUUUAGGGCUAGCCUCAUAGUAAGAUACGCAGGGGUAGAGCACUGAAUGUUCUAGGGGCCUUCACCGGUUACCGAAAACUAUCAAACUCCGAAUACUGCGCAAUCAUCUAUGGGAGUCAGACUAUGAGAGAUAAGUUCCAUGGUCGAAAGGGAAACAGCCCAGACCUACAGCUAAGGUCCCAAAAUGUAAGUUAAGUGGAAAAGGAUGUGGAGCUGCAUAAACAGCUAGGAUGUUGGCUUAGAAGCAGCCAUUCAUUUAAAGAGUGCGUAACAGCUCACUAGUCGAGUGGCUCUGCGCCGAAGAUAAACGGGGCUAAAACUUACUACCGAAGCUUAGGAUACCUUUUGGUAUGGUAGAGGAGCAUCGUAUAAGAGUCGAAGGUGAACUGUAAGGUAAGCUGGAUUUUAUACGAGAGAGAAUGUUGGCAUGAGUAGCGAGAGGCAGGUGAGAAUCCUGCCCACCGAAAAUCUAAGGUUUCCUGAGGAAGGUUCGUCCACUCAGGGUUAGUCGGGACCUAAGCCGAGGACGAGAGUCGUAGGCGAUGGACAACUGGUUGAGAUUCCAGUACCACCGAAAGUCGUUUGAGUGAAGUGGGGACACAGAAGGAUAGACAGAGCACGCCGUUGGUAGAGCGUGUCCAAGCAGUGAGGCUUGUGCGUAGGCAAAUCCGCGCACUUUAAGGCUAGGCUGUGAUGGGGAGGGAAAAAAGUACCGGAAGCUGUUGAUUUCACACUGUCAAGAAAAGCCGCUAGCGAGACCGUAGGUGCCCGUACCGCAAACCGACACAGGUAGAUGAGGAGAGAAUCCUAAGGUGAGCGAGAGAACUAUUGUUAAGGAACUCGGCAAAAUGACCCCGUAACUUCGGGAGAAGGGGUGCCAUCGAAAGAUGGCCGCAGUGAAAAGGCCCAGGCGACUGUUUAGCAAAAACACAGGUCUCUGCUAAAGCGAAAGCUGAAGUAUAGGGGCUGACGCCUGCCCGGUGCUGGAAGGUUAAGGGGACUGCUUAGAGCAAUCGAAGGCAUGAACUUAAGCCCCAGUAAACGGCGGCCGUAACUAUAACGGUCCUAAGGUAGCGAAAUUCCUUGUCAGGUAAGUUCUGACCCGCACGAAAGGCGUAACGAUCUGGGCGCUGUCUCAACAAUAGACUCGGUGAAAUUGUAGUACCGGUAAAGAUGCCGGUUACCCGCAGCAGGACGGAAAGACCCCGUGGAGCUUUACUGCAGCUUGAUAUUGGAUUUCGGCAUUGCAUGUACAGGAUAGGUGGGAGACUGCGAACUCAGUACGCCAGUAUUGAGGGAGUCACCGUUGGGAUACCACCCUUGUAAUGUUGAGGUUCUAACUUUGUACCGUGACCCGGUAUGAGGACAGUGUCUGGCGGGCAGUUUGACUGGGGCGGUCGCCUCCUAAAGAGUAACGGAGGCGCCCAAAGGUUCCCUCAGUGCGGACGGAAAUCGCACGAAGAGUGUAAAGGCAGAAGGGAGCUUGACUGCGAGACAAACAGGUCGAGCAGGGACGAAAGUCGGGCUUAGUGAUCCGGUGGUACCGAGUGGAAGGGCCAUCGCUCAACGGAUAAAAGCUACCCCGGGGAUAACAGGCUGAUACCCCCCAAGAGUCCACAUCGACGGGGGUGUUUGGCACCUCGAUGUCGGCUCGUCGCAUCCUGGGGCUGAAGUAGGUCCCAAGGGUUGGGCUGUUCGCCCAUUAAAGCGGUACGCGAGCUGGGUUCAGAACGUCGUGAGACAGUUCGGUCCCUAUCCGCUGUGGGCGUUGGAGAUUUGAGUGGAGCUGUUCUUAGUACGAGAGGACCGGGAUGGACAUACCUCUGGUGCACCAGUUGUUCUGCCAAGGGCAUAGCUGGGUAGCCACGUAUGGAAGGGAUAAGUGCUGAAAGCAUCUAAGUACGAAGCCCCCCACAAGACAAGAUCUCCUCCUUAAAGGUAAGACCCGUGAGAGACUAUCACGUUGA
RNAcentral lists this ribosomal RNA (2041 nucleotides) under human gut metagenome. Its description in RNAcentral is "bacterial LSU rRNA". It matches the Rfam family "Bacterial large subunit ribosomal RNA", at positions 794 to 2856 of the family's 2925-position model. The record is from RNAcentral.